GCAUGUGUCAUAUAUUUUAUUAUUUUUUUUAUAAACACAUUUAGGAUAUGCCGGCUUGGAUUGAAGAUAUGAUUAUAUUGUCAAACAAAAGUAAAGGCACUUUAGAGUCGUUAGGUUUAGAAAACCUACCAGAUUUCAACGAAUGCAAAAAGAUUAGCAAUUUUCAGGAACAAAUUCUAUGCAUAGUUGAAGCACUUGAAGACAUUAAGGACACUUACCAAAAUGCUAAAGACAUAACUUCACUAACAGCAAGAGUUUUGGCUGGAGGAAGACUAGCCGUACGGGCUUUAUCAAGACUGCAAACUUUGGCCUCAACCAUUGAUAACAAACAGCUAAUGAAAAAAAUAGGAACACCAAUGGCUACACUGAUAUUACUGCAAAGAGAAACUACAUCAGAUAGAACCAGGUGGUUAUGUGGAUCUAUUUUAACUCUGUUAACUGAUUUACCAGUAGUAUCAGACAUAGCGGAUGUAAAUACAGGGUCGUAUGGUCACGUAAACGUCAUCAUGCCCAGACAGUCUAGAAUUAGAAAUCCUGAUAGAACAAUUUUGAGGCUAAGAGAAGGUGUUUCACCUUCAGAUCUAAUAAAUGGAUAUACAUCAAGUUAAAAAAAAGAAAAAAAAAAAAAGACCUACUUUGAAAAAUAAGUAUACAUUCCUCUUUCACUUACAUAUUUAUGUAUAUAUAUUUUUGUGUGUACUUGUAUAUAUUUAAAUAUACAAUUUAAACUUGUAAGUUUUCGUAUAUAUUUUUAUCUAUACAUGCCUUGAUAUAUAUACAUAUUUUUUUCAGUUCUAGCGAAUUAUACAAUAUAAACCUUUUCCGAAGGAUUGUUUUAUUUUUUUUUUAUAAAUUGUUUUGUUUUAUUUUUUUAUUUAAAAAGAAAAAGUAAAAACACAUUGUUUCACAUUUUUAAAAUAAAAAUGUUUAAUUUUUUUAAUUUUUUGUUUUA
RNAcentral lists this long non-coding RNA (952 nucleotides) under Piliocolobus tephrosceles (Ugandan red Colobus). RNAcentral's name for it is "lncRNA (ENSPTEG00000021066.1)". The record is from RNAcentral. Lineage: Eukaryota; Metazoa; Chordata; Mammalia; Primates; Cercopithecidae.